CAGUUAACCUCCCUGGGCUUCAGUAUCCUCAUCUGGCCCCAUUUGUGUUUUCGUGCUGGCCACUGCUGCUUCAUACACAGGUGCAGGUGCUCUGGAGUGGAUCUCCUGGCCUGGCUGACCAGCCCAGAGGGUUUGCCAAGAAGGAGAGCUUAAGAGAACAGCCCACUCCACCAUGAUGCUGAUGUCACUCUUCCCACAGAUAGCAUGACAAGAGACUGGCAUAAUGAGGGAUGCUAUGGAGCACUGUGUCUGACAGUUCAUCUCAAAUUGCAGCCUGCACAGGAGUUAUCAAAGCCACGGCAACUCCAGAAAAUUGAUAGACACAAAGUUAAACAGCUCUCCACCAUGGAAGACAGAAAAGCUUGAGAAACACUUCUGCUGUCCUUGAGCCCUAACUCUGGUAAGUAUAGGAGUAACAUGAAACAAGCUUGAGUCUUCAUACUCAUUAGCGUUCUUCUCAGCGCAGUCCCACGAUCAUAAAGUGCUCUGCUCAGCAAUUCCGGAAAAUGUGGAGCUUCGCCCAUUUCCCGUUUCAAAUACAAUUUGUGUUUAUGAAUGUAUUUAUUUUGGAUUUCUAUCCAAUUUUCUCCAAAUCAAACCCAUUUGAAGCAGCUUACAAAGCACACAUGGUGCAACAUGGGACUAUUAGGGACAGAAAUCAAAUGGAAAGUGAGUUAGGCC
Molecule: long non-coding RNA, 681 nt
Filed under: Equus caballus (horse)
Lineage: Eukaryota; Metazoa; Chordata; Mammalia; Perissodactyla; Equidae
Description: lncRNA (ENSECAG00000052460.1)
Source: RNAcentral